CAGCAGCCACGGUAAAACGUAGGGUGCAAGCGUUAAUCGGAAUUACUGGGCGUAAAGCGUGCGCAGGCGGUUCUAUAAGACAGAUGUGAAAUCCCCGGGCUCAACCUGGGAACUGCAUUUGUGACUGUAGAGCUGGAGUGCGGCAGAGGGGGAUGGAAUUCCGCGUGUAGCAGUGAAAUGCGCAGAUAUGCGGAGGAACACCGAUGGCGAAGGCAAUCCCCUGGGCCUGCACUGACGCUCAUGCACGAAAGCGUGGGGAGCAAACAGGAUUAGAUACCCGCGUAGUCCCUGUCUCUUAUAC
This 301-nucleotide ribosomal RNA is filed under the name uncultured bacterium. RNAcentral describes it as "partial 16S ribosomal RNA". It matches the Rfam family "Bacterial small subunit ribosomal RNA", at positions 509 to 807 of the family's 1533-position model. The record is from RNAcentral.